Molecule: long non-coding RNA, 282 nt
Organism: Alexandromys fortis (reed vole)
Lineage: Eukaryota; Metazoa; Chordata; Mammalia; Rodentia; Cricetidae
Exons: 3
Source: RefSeq, a predicted model, not a curated record
CGUCCGUUUCCAUCAUUUCUCGCUCGUGUUUCUGGUAGCCAGAUCCCGGCGGAAGCACAGUCUCUGCCCUCAGUCCUGCUGCUGCAGCCUCUCCUCUGGAAGGCCGCUACACCCUCGGCAGAAGUGGCACCCGCCCGGCCCUGUUUGACACUUGAGACGCGCAGCAGGUUUCCUCGAAGGACACCUUGCAGCUCCUGUUCAUCCCAGCCCCGUCUCAGCAACUCCUCUAUGAGCACUGGGUCCAUGCCACGGAGAGAAGUUUCCUCACCACACUGUCUGCCA